AUACGUAGGGGGCGAGCGUUGUCCGGAAUGAUUGGGCGUAAAGGGCGCGUAGGCGGCCCGGUAAGUCUGGAGUGAAAGUCCUGUUUUUAAGAUGGGAAUUGCUUUGGAUACUGUCGGGCUUGAGUGCAGGAGAGGUAAGUGGAAUUCCCAGUGUAGCGGUGAAAUGCGUAGAGAUUGGGAGGAACACCAGUGGCGAAGGCGACUUACUGGACUGUAACUGACGCUGAGGCGCGAAAGUGUGGGGAGCAAACAGGAUUAGAUACCCUGGUAGUCCACACUGUAAACGAUGAAUGCUAGGUGUAGGGGGUAUCGACCCCUUCUGUGCCGCAGUCAACACAAUAAGUAUUCCGCCUGGGGAGUUCGGCCGCAAGGUUGAAACUCAAAGGAAUUGACGGGG
This 397-nucleotide ribosomal RNA is filed under the name uncultured bacterium. RNAcentral's name for it is "partial 16S ribosomal RNA". It matches the Rfam family "Bacterial small subunit ribosomal RNA", at positions 523 to 918 of the family's 1533-position model. The record is from RNAcentral.